UGGCUCUUUGCUUGCGCAACAACUUCCACCUGGCAUACCUCUUCAGUUUUGUGUCAAUGCUUGUAUCGCAUUGAAUGCAUGGUGGGUUUCUUGUGUUGCAUGCCUAAUUGAUGGUAUCGUUUGACGAAUUGAUGUCUAUUUUCGUCUUGUGUUGCACAUGCGAUGCGAGAUGAACCUUAAAGUAGCCUUUGUGAUCCACUAUUUUGAUGCACACGCAUCGAUUUUGUGGCUCAUUGAGUGUUUGCUUGGUCUCAUGUAUAUGGAACCUUGUGUGGGCAUGUGAUCUUUUAGUAGAUCCUUCUUUGCCCUAGUUAAGCUUUUCAAAUACGAUUUCCUAUCAUGUUCUAACGUGGUGGGCUAUAUCGAAUAUGAUUG
RNAcentral lists this unclassified non-coding RNA (375 nucleotides) under Ozothamnus diosmifolius. RNAcentral's name for it is "partial external transcribed spacer". Lineage: Eukaryota; Viridiplantae; Streptophyta; Magnoliopsida; Asterales; Asteraceae. The record is from RNAcentral.